ACUGCUAUCGGUGUUCGCCUAAGCCAUGCGAGUCAUAUGUAGCAAUACAUGGCGUACUGCUCAGUAACACGUGGAUAACCUGCCCUUGGGUCCGGCAUAACCCCGGGAAACUGGGGAUAAUUCCGGAUAACGCACAUAUGCUGGAAUGCUUUAUGCGUAAAAUGGAUUCGUCUGCCCAAGGAUGGGUCUGCGGCCUAUCAGGUAGUAGUGGGUGUAAUGUACCUACUAGCCGACGACGGGUACGGGUUGUGAGAGCAAGAGCCCGGAGAUGGAUUCUGAGACAUGAAUCCAGGCCCUACGGGGCGCAGCAGGCGCGAAAACUUUACAAUGCGGGAAACCGUGAUAAGGGGACACCGAGUGCCAGCAUCAUAUGCUGGCUGUCCAGGUGUGUAAAAUACACCUGUUAGCAAGGGCCGGGCAAGACCGGUGCCAGCCGCCGCGGUAACACCGGCGGCCCGAGUGGUGAUCGUGAUUAUUGGGUCUAAAGGGUCCGUAGCCGGUUUGGUCAGUCCUCCGGGAAAUCUGAUAGCUCAACUAUUAGGCUUUCGGGGGAUACUGCCAGACUUGGAACCGGGAGAGGUAAGAGGUACUACAGGGGUAGGAGUGAAAUCUUGUAAUCCCUGUGGGACCACCUGUGGCGAAGGCGUCUUACCAGAACGGGUUCGACGGUGAGGGACGAAAGCUGGGGGCACGAACCGGAUUAGAUACCCGGGUAGUCCCAGCCGUAAACGAUGCUCGCUAGGUGUCAGACAUGGCGCGACCGUGUCUGGUGCCGCAGGGAAGCCGUGAAGCGAGCCACCUGGGAAGUACGAUCGCAAGAUUGAAACUUAAAGGAAUUGGCGGG
This 844-nucleotide ribosomal RNA is filed under the name uncultured archaeon. Its description in RNAcentral is "bacterial SSU rRNA". It matches the Rfam family "Archaeal small subunit ribosomal RNA", at positions 26 to 872 of the family's 1478-position model. The record is from RNAcentral.